AUGGGGUUUAUAGUAGCUAUGUUUUCGAGGGACAGGUUUCCCUAAAAAAAGGAAAUUAACGAGCUUACUUCCCCUCCCCUUCUUCUUCUUUUCCCACUGCUCACCCUACCACCAUCAUUUCUCCUCCACCUUUGCUAUAAUCACCAUACUAGCCACUAAAAUAGCUUUCUCUUUCCUUUUUCUCACUGGGGCACCUAUUUCUCUUCUCCCUUUUACCGUUAGACGUCAAGCUUUGGAAGGAGAACGACGCUCUUUUGCUACCACCACCAAAGCUGUACCUUGCCGGCUUCUUCUCUCAAAUCCAGCACCAAAUUUGGACUCUUCACCGUCAAAAACAUCAAGACAGCCUUUCCUCCACCUCAAAUGUUGCUAUUUAGCUCAGUCCUAGCCUACCGAAGCAGAAGCUCUCCAACCUCGAUCUAGUGGCUUCCGGUGAGAUUUAGGCGAAAAAUACGCAUAUUUGGACUCUAGAUGUUCUCAAGCUUCACCUAGCCUUUGAAUUCUGACAUAGUUGACUGUAUUGGCUUUCAAACUCUGUUACUUUUCAAACACGUAAAAUUUUGAAAUUUUAGUUCGAAAUCAUUUAUUUGGACUCGAAAUAUUAUUUAAAAAUAUUUAGUUCAUCGAUUGUUGAUCAUAAAUAAAUAAAUAAUUUAAUUUAAUUAAUUAGUAACUUGGUUAUAAAGAUAUUUUAGAUUAAUUAAAGGGUUAAUUAUUAUUUGAUUGUACUCGGA
This 734-nucleotide long non-coding RNA is filed under the name Ricinus communis (castor bean). RNAcentral describes it as "long non-coding RNA (RCOM_LNC003298)". The record is from RNAcentral. Lineage: Eukaryota; Viridiplantae; Streptophyta; Magnoliopsida; Malpighiales; Euphorbiaceae.